This 1805-nucleotide long non-coding RNA is filed under the name Equus caballus (horse). Its description in RNAcentral is "lncRNA (ENSECAG00000034288.3)". The record is from RNAcentral. Lineage: Eukaryota; Metazoa; Chordata; Mammalia; Perissodactyla; Equidae.
AUAAUCGCAAGUUUUCUAAAGUAAGUGUUAAGAAAAGGGGGGUCAGGGUGCCAUAGGAAGAAACUGUGGAAACUUUAGUCAGGCUGAGGGGGACAUUAAGGCCAUCUUGGUCAGUGGAAAGCAGUGGCAAGCAGGCCGAGACUCUGGUGGCUUGUGGGAAGGAGAGAUUUCUGCAGGACCUGGUCAGCGAGGGCUCAACCAUGACCUCCCCUGCGUCCAGAGGAGUGGAACCUGGCUGACGAGCGGAGUAGGUCCGCACCUGGGAUCCGAACCUGCAAACCUGGGCCACCGAAGCGGAACGUGCAGAAAUUUAACCUCUUGGCCAUGGGGCUGGCCCUCUGGAUUUCCUUCUGUUUUAAGGCUGAAUAAUAUUCCAUAUAUGUAUAGACCACAUUUGCUUUGUCCCUUCAUCUGUCGAUGGACAUUUAUGUUGUUUCCACCUCUUGGCUAUCGUGACGGAUGCUGCCGUGGACCUGGGAGUGCAGAUCCUGUUUUCAAUUCUUUUGAAUAAAUACUCAGAUUUGGGAUUGCUGGCAAGAAACUGGAAAAUAGCACAGGAGGCUGAUGAAUAGCUUUUAAAAUCAUUUUAAGUUUUGCCCCUACAACAAGUAGUUUCUGAUCAAAAUACUCCUGCUCAGCAGAAAAGGACUCAUAGGGAUUUCAUGAAAUAACAUGUAAGAUAGAGGAAAAGAUUUUGUAUUGAGAGAAAAUAAAUGUUUUAAAUUUUGGGUAAUUUCCUUUCCUUCCUCCCCAGCCUUGUCCAGUGGGAGGCACUGUAGUUGUGUGGAAAGAGGAACGCUUCAGGGUUUGGAUUUCUGCAGGGUCUGGGCUUCAAGGGUGCCUGGUCCCCUAAAUUUGUUCGUAAAAUGUGUGCAUGGAGCAGUCUUUAGCUGUCACCAGAUUCUCAGAGAAGUCUGUGGCCAGGAGCUAAGAACCAGCUUUAAAGACUGGCUGUCCAGCCUUAGUUAUUUUGCAUCUCAGGUAACCAACCAGCACUUGAUGAUGCAAAGAGGAUGCUGCGUCUUUUGCUUCCUGUUUACCUGGGAGGAGGUGUGAAAUGAAGUGCUAACGGCAGGGCACUGGAGAAAGUUUCAGUGGUAAUGUGUUUCUUGAGGAGGAAAAGCUUUCACCUGACGCAUUUCCUUGCCUGGAUUUGAGUCACACUGUGCUAUCUUAAACCGCCCUGGCUUUGCUUUUGAGAGAACCUAAAUUGAGUUGUCCUUGAUGGAUUCCCCUCAUCCUGCCUCUGGGAUCCUGUGCUCUCCUUCAGUUCCUGAGCCUCCUCUGCAGAAUCCUGUUGGGAAUUAAUCCAUGUCUUCCCUGAGUUUCCCUGUUUCAAUAAAUCCUCCGUAUACUGUAUCUAAUUUCUUCUGAAUUGAGGAUCCAAUCCAAGGAGCAGCUCCGACCUGGCACCUGACUGGGCUCAUGUCAGAGGGAAGAGAGAGACAUGGUGGUAACAUGUGGACGCUCCUACAGAUUGUGCUUGGAAAUAGCGAAGGUGGUGGCGCUUUAUUUUGUCUGGGUAGUGACCUCAUGGAAAAAGUCAGUUCCAGAACUUUGUGUUUAUGUUAGAAUUCAGAAGUGAGAUGCUUAUUAAAGGGAAAUCUGUUAACACUUUUAUUUGAAUUGAAAAAUGAAGUCAGAUUUUUUUCUUAUAGAAAGCAAAUCUGAUUUGGCUGACCGGUUGGUAAUGACGACUGGCUUUGUCAAUUAGGUUAUGUGGUGGAUAGCUGUAUAAAUUGAAGGAGCUAAAUCUGCAGUUACAAGCUUUGGAUGAAUAUAUUUAAUGAUCAGAUAAGAACAUU